Poeciliopsis prolifica (blackstripe livebearer) is the source of this 1096-nucleotide long non-coding RNA. RefSeq lists it as uncharacterized. The record is from RefSeq and is a predicted model, not a curated record. The transcript is spliced from 3 exons. NCBI's taxonomy places the organism in Eukaryota, Metazoa, Chordata, Actinopteri, Cyprinodontiformes, Poeciliidae.
AAGAAAAAUUAUGCAAAUGAAGCGAGCGCCUUGGAAAGCCAGUCCAAAUCAAGUAGUUGCCUCUCCUCCUCCUCCCCCAACAUCCCAAAUGAGGGAGUCCGUCUGGAAAAUAAUAACGUUAAUAAUGCCUCGUUACUAAUGCGCCGUCCCAAAAGGUGUUUUAGGUCCUUUUCUUAUCAUUUGCCCCGCGUCCUAGAUAGAAGUUAUGAGUGCAAGGAGAUUUUCGGAAUAACAAAGGGAUACUGAGAGCUGCAUUUCAAUUUCCAUGGGAGAUAAAAGAGCUUCAAUAGGCGGCUUAAUCAUUAACCUACUUUUUCUUCAUCUCUCUUUUUUUUUCUUUUACUCUCAGAAUUUUCUGUUUUGGCGCAAGGACGUCCAGUUCGUUUUCAUUUCAACGUGAACCCGCUAACCAUGAAGGAAAGCUGCAGGCCAGCCAGUGCACGUUCUGAUCAAAGCUCCUAAAUAUUAAAGGAAAAAAAGGAAAAAAAAAACACAGCAGCUCGUGCACGGGGAUGAAAAAUGGGCAGAGGUUUCAACACCAAAAAGGCCAAAGCGGGAGGACACGCAGCGUGGAGCAGAGGAGAAGAAGGGAGCCGGGGAAUCCCUCUGCAUGAACCAGACUGAUGUAAAGGCUUGUGAAACUGAAUGACCGUGCCCUGCAGGAUGAUCCCACCCUACCUGUCGCCACCGCACCUGAACUUUCCCCUGACCCGUGCAGAGUUGAGUGGCAAGUCAGACAUUCAAGCAUCGACUUUGAUGCAUUUCCACAAAUCAAGCCUCCUUAUCUCUGUCAGCACGGAGAGGAGCUGCAGGCGCAGAGACCCCCUGGAUGUCGGCCAGACGACGGGCCAUAUCUUCCCACAAUGUUGACACUCGGAGCUCUUAACAGCCAGGCUUGGGUUACCGAGCCCCUCAGCCGAAGAUAACUGCUGCAGUGAGGUUUACAUCGGCCAACAUCAAGACUAAUGUGAAAUUCAACGCCUCGAGCUGAGUGGAGCCAUCUCUAAUUAACCCCAGACAAACACUGCAACCAACGAAGACAGAACAAGUGUUUGCUUGGAUGUGGAUGUAAUAAAGCAAGUUGGAUUUUCUUGUA